UAACAGGAAGCAGCUUGCUGCUUCGCUGACGAGUGGCGGACGGGUGAGUAAUGUCUGGGAAACUGCCUGAUGGAGGGGGAUAACUACUGGAAACGGUAGCUAAUACCGCAUAAUGUCGCAAGACCAAAGAGGGGGACCUUCGGGCCUCUUGCCAUCGGAUGUGCCCAGAUGGGAUUAGCUUGUUGGUGGGGUAACGGCUCACCAAGGCGACGAUCCCUAGCUGGUCUGAGAGGAUGACCAGCCACACUGGAACUGAGACACGGUCCAGACUCCUACGGGAGGCAGCAGUGGGGAAUAUUGCACAAUGGGCGCAAGCCUGAUGCAGCCAUGCCGCGUGUAUGAAGAAGGCCUUCGGGUUGUAAAGUACUUUCAGCGGGGAGGAAGGGAGUAAAGUUAAUACCUUUGCUCAUUGACGUUACCCGCAGAAGAAGCACCGGCUAACUCCGUGCCAGCAGCCGCGGUAAUACGGAGGGUGCAAGCGUUAAUCGGAAUUACUGGGCGUAAAGCGCACGCAGGCGGUUUGUUAAGUCAGAUGUGAAAUCCCCGGGCUCAACCUGGGAACUGCAUCUGAUACUGGCAAGCUUGAGUCUCGUAGAGGGGGGUAGAAUUCCAGGUGUAGCGGUGAAAUGCGUAGAGAUCUGGAGG
RNAcentral lists this ribosomal RNA (645 nucleotides) under uncultured Enterobacterales bacterium. RNAcentral's name for it is "bacterial SSU rRNA". It matches the Rfam family "Bacterial small subunit ribosomal RNA", at positions 64 to 704 of the family's 1533-position model. Lineage: Bacteria; Pseudomonadati; Pseudomonadota; Gammaproteobacteria; Enterobacterales. The record is from RNAcentral.